GAGUUUGAUCGUGGCUCAGGACGAACGCUGGCGGCGCGCCUAACACAUGCAAGUCGAACGGAACCCUUUCUGAGAAAUUUUCGGAUGGAUCGGGAAGGUGUUUAGUGGCGGACGGGUGAGUAACACGUGAGCAACCUGCCUUUCAGAGGGGGAUAACAGUUGGAAACGACUGCUAAUACCGCAUAAUAUACCGAGACGGCAUCGUCAUGGUAUCAAAGGAGCAAUCCGCUGAAAGAUGGGCUCGCGGCCGAUUAGCUAGUUGGUGAGGUAAAGGCCCACCAAGGCGACGAUCGGUAGCCGGACUGAGAGGUUGAACGGCCACAUUGGGACUGAGACACGGGCCCAGACUCCUACGGGAGGCAGCAGUGGGGGAUAUUGCACAAUGGGCGAAAGCCUGAUGCAGCGACGCCGCGUGAGGGAAGACGGUUUUCGGAUUGU
RNAcentral lists this ribosomal RNA (438 nucleotides) under uncultured bacterium. RNAcentral's name for it is "bacterial SSU rRNA". It matches the Rfam family "Bacterial small subunit ribosomal RNA", at positions 9 to 426 of the family's 1533-position model. The record is from RNAcentral.